This 571-nucleotide ribosomal RNA is filed under the name uncultured bacterium. Its description in RNAcentral is "partial 16S ribosomal RNA". It matches the Rfam family "Bacterial small subunit ribosomal RNA", at positions 355 to 919 of the family's 1533-position model. The record is from RNAcentral.
UGGGGAAUUUUGGACAAUGGGCGAAAGCCUGAUCCAGCAAUGCCGCGUGUGUGAAGAAGGCCUUCGGGUUGUAAAGCACUUUUGUCCGGAAAGAAAUCCUUGGCUCUAAUACAGUCGGGAGAUGACGGUACCGGAAGAAUAAGCACCGGCUAACUACGUGCCAGCAGCCGCGGUAAUACGUAGGGUGCAAGCGUUAAUCGGAAUUACUGGGCGUAAAGCGUGCGCAGGCGGUUUGCUAAGACCGAUGUGAAAUCCCCGGGCUCAACCUGGGAACUGCAUUGGUGACUGGCAGGCUAGAGUAUGGCAGAGGGGGGUAGAAUUCCACGUGUAGCAGUGAAAUGCGUAGAGAUGUGGAGGAAUACCGAUGGCGAAGGCAGCCCCCUGGGCCAAUACUGACGCUCAUGCACGAAAGCGUGGGGAGCAAACAGGAUUAGAUACCCUGGUAGUCCACGCCCUAAACGAUGUCAACUAGUUGUUGGGGAUUCAUUUCCUUAGUAACGUAGCUAACGCGUGAAGUUGACCGCCUGGGGAGUACGGUCGCAAGAUUAAAACUUAAAUGAAUUGACGGGGU